RNAcentral lists this long non-coding RNA (556 nucleotides) under Monodelphis domestica (gray short-tailed opossum). RNAcentral describes it as "lncRNA (ENSMODG00000051316.1)". The record is from RNAcentral. Lineage: Eukaryota; Metazoa; Chordata; Mammalia; Didelphimorphia; Didelphidae.
UAAUGACUUGAAAUCUCCAAAGCCUGGAGUUUCCCCCUUUCUUUCUCAAGUCUUUUCUGCUCUCUUUCACAGACAUGUGUCCUGGGCUUUCUCCUCAUUUUUCUCAUCGGUUCAAGUCUAGGUAAUGAUCAAUGCUCUGUCCAGAGGAUUCCUUCAAUGUCUAGAGGUUGUAUGAACAGUGAUGGAUCUGAGUUUAGAACUGGUGCCUCUUGGAUCCAGAAUGGUUUACGCUGUAGGUGUUUUGGAGAUAAAAUUUGGUGCUGCAGGGUCAGAUAAUACCUUCUUUUGAACUCAUAGAAUAUUUAUCUGAAUCAGUUGCUUGCAUCCUCUAGAAGACUGAUGCUCAACUGACUGCUAGACUACUUCUAUGGAGCCCUACUUGCUGCUUGACCAGCUGUCAUCAAUAUGCUUCUCAUUCUCCAAAGGACACUUGUAGAGUUCACAGGGGCCACUUCUGUGCUUUCUCACUGAUGAUAUUAAAGAGCCCGUAGUGUAACUUUUGCUGUAACUGGUGGAAUUCAAUAAAUGACAGUUCCACAUUGAAAGUGUUGAAGCG